RNAcentral lists this ribosomal RNA (525 nucleotides) under uncultured bacterium. RNAcentral's name for it is "partial 16S ribosomal RNA". It matches the Rfam family "Bacterial small subunit ribosomal RNA", at positions 28 to 523 of the family's 1533-position model. The record is from RNAcentral.
GACGAACGCUGGCGGCGUGCCUAAUACAUGCAAGUCGAGCGCAGGAAGCCAUUCUGAACCCUUCGGGGGGACGACGGCGGAAUGAGCGGCGGACGGGUGAGUAACACGUAAAGAACCUGCCCAUAGGUCUGGGAUAACCACGAGAAAUCGGGGCUAAUACCGGAUGUGUCAUCGGACCGCAUGGUCCGCUGAUGAAAGGCGCUCCGGCGUCGCCCAUGGAUGGCUUUGCGGUGCAUUAGCUAGUUGGUGGGGUAACGGCCCACCAAGGCGACGAUGCAUAGCCGACCUGAGAGGGUGAUCGGCCACACUGGGACUGAGACACGGCCCAGACUCCUACGGGAGGCAGCAGUAGGGAAUCUUCCACAAUGGACGAAAGUCUGAUGGAGCAACGCCGCGUGAACGAUGAAGGCUUUCGGGUCGUAAAGUUCUGUUGUAAGGGAAGAACAGGUGCCGCAGGCAAUGGCGGCACCUUGACGGUACCUUGCGAGAAGGCCACGGCUAACUACGUGCCAGCCGCCGCGGUAA